GUGCCAGCCGCCGCGGUAAUACGUAGGUGGCAAGCGUUGUCCGGAAUUAUUGGGCGUAAAGCGCGCGCAGGCGGUCUCUUAAGUCUGAUGUGAAAGCCCACGGCUCAACCGUGGAGGGUCAUUGGAAACUGGGAGACUUGAGUACAGAAGAGGAGAGUGGAAUUCCACGUGUAGCGGUGAAAUGCGUAGAUAUGUGGAGGAACACCAGUGGCGAAGGCGACUCUCUGGUCUGUAACUGACGCUGAGGCGCGAAAGCGUGGGGAGCAAACAGGAUUAGAUACCCUGGUAGUCCACGCCGUAAACGAUGAGUGCUAGGUGUUAGGGGUUUCGAUGCCCUUAGUGCCGAAGUUAACACAUUAAGCACUCCGCCUGGGGAGUACGACCGCAAGGUUGAAACUCAAAGGAAUUGACGG
This 413-nucleotide ribosomal RNA is filed under the name uncultured organism. RNAcentral describes it as "SSU rRNA". It matches the Rfam family "Bacterial small subunit ribosomal RNA", at positions 505 to 916 of the family's 1533-position model. The record is from RNAcentral.